UACGUAGGGACCAAGCGUUGUUCGAAUUUACUGGGCGUAAAGGGCGCGUAGGCGGCGCGGUAAGUCACUUGUGAAAUCUCUGAGCUUAACUCAGAACGGCCAAGUGAUACUGCAGUGCUAGAGUGUGGAAGGGGCAAUCGGAAUUCUUGGUGUAGCGGUGAAAUGCGUAGAUAUCAAGAGGAACACCUGAGGUGAAGACGGGUUGCUGGGCCAACACUGACGCUGAUGCGCGAAAGCCAGGGGAGCAAACGGG
This 253-nucleotide ribosomal RNA is filed under the name uncultured bacterium. Its description in RNAcentral is "partial 16S ribosomal RNA". It matches the Rfam family "Bacterial small subunit ribosomal RNA", at positions 524 to 776 of the family's 1533-position model. The record is from RNAcentral.